UGCUUGUCCACGAAAUCUAGUUGCAAUGAGAGGCACAUGUUUACAAGUAGGAACCUCCUUAAAUUCCAAGACCUCCACUGCAGUCACCCAAUCCAAGAAUUCUUCUGGACUUAAUUCGCCUUGGAAUCAGGGAUAUCAACCUUAAAUCCUGAUUCCCAACGUCUAUUCUCUUCCUUGCCACCUUUUCUCCAUCAGAUUGCCAGAUCUAUUGGAUGAUCAAAUGGUGCAAAUGGAUUUUUAUCUUCAGAAUCCUCAAGCAGUUGGGCCACAGGUUCACGCUGCUGUGGCACAAGUGCAAUGAUUUGCUGGGUCAACAACUCCACUUGUUGAUGCAGCUGUACGAUCUCAUCACAUCUAUUCACCUCCUCUAUUGAGGCUUCGCGGGCUUCUGGACGUCUUUUUGGCGGCAUGGCAAAGGAACGAAUGUAGCUAUGAUACCAACUAAUGUAGCAGAAGGUUAUAGAAAAGAUGAAAAACCCAUGAAAAGAUUUUGUUUCUGUCAAUCAAUGCGGUUACAAAGAGCUUACAAUAUUUUAUAUAGGGAAA
This 546-nucleotide long non-coding RNA is filed under the name Olea europaea subsp. europaea. Lineage: Eukaryota; Viridiplantae; Streptophyta; Magnoliopsida; Lamiales; Oleaceae. The record is from RNAcentral.